This 813-nucleotide ribosomal RNA is filed under the name Cryptosporidium felis. RNAcentral describes it as "partial small subunit ribosomal RNA". It matches the Rfam family "Eukaryotic small subunit ribosomal RNA", at positions 225 to 1058 of the family's 1831-position model. The record is from RNAcentral. Lineage: Eukaryota; Apicomplexa; Conoidasida; Eucoccidiorida; Cryptosporidiidae.
ACAGUACCGGUGUGUGGUUGGUGACUAAUAACUUUCCGGAUCACAAUAAUUUAUUUUGUGACAUAUCAUUCGAGUUUCUGACCUAUCAGCUUAGGACGGUAGGGUAUUGGCCUACCGUGGGUAUCACGGGUAACGGGGAAUUAGGUUUCGAUUCCGGAGAGGGAGCCUGAGACCCCGCUACCACAUCUAAGGAAGGCAGCAGGCGCGCAAAUUACCCAAUCCUAAUACAGGGAGGGAGUGACAAGAAAUAACAAUACAGGACUUUUCGGUUUUGUAAGAGGAAAGAGUUAAGUAUAAACCCCUUUACAAAUAUCAAGGGGAGGGCAAGUCUGGUGCCAGCAGCCGCGGUAAUUCCAGCUCCAAUAGCGUAUAUUAAAGUUGUUGCAGUUAAAAAGCUGGUAGUUGGAUUUUUGUUAAUACCUUAUAUAUUUUUUUUUUUAAAUAUUAAUAAGUAAGAUUAACUUUCAUUUUUUUAAGAGUGUUUUUUUAGUUUUUAUAAUAAAAAAUUUUACUUUGAGAAAAUUAGAGUGCUUAACGCAGGCUUUCGCCUUGAAUUCUCCCGCAUGGAAUAAUAAUAAAAGAUUUUUAUUUUUUUUUAAUUGGUUCUAAGAUAAAAAUAAUGAUUAAUAGGGACAGUUUGGGGCAUUUGUAUUUAACAGUCAGAGGUGAUAUUCUUAGAUUUGUUAAAGACAAACUAAUGCGAAAGCAUUUGCCAAGGAUGUUUUCAUUAAUCAAGAACGGAAGUUAGGGGAUCGAAGACGAUCAGAUACCGUCGGAAGCUUAACCAUAAACUAUGCCAACUAGAGAUGGAGG